This 369-nucleotide ribosomal RNA is filed under the name uncultured Psychrobacter sp. RNAcentral's name for it is "bacterial SSU rRNA". It matches the Rfam family "Bacterial small subunit ribosomal RNA", at positions 446 to 813 of the family's 1533-position model. Lineage: Bacteria; Pseudomonadati; Pseudomonadota; Gammaproteobacteria; Moraxellales; Moraxellaceae. The record is from RNAcentral.
CUCUAGGGUUAAUACCCCUAGACGAUGACAUUAGCUGCAGAAUAAGCACCGGCUAACUCUGUGCCAGCAGCCGCGGUAAUACAGAGGGUGCAAGCGUUAAUCGGAAUUACUGGGCGUAAAGCGAGCGUAGGUGGCUUGAUAAGUUAGAUGUGAAAGCCCCGGGCUUAACCUGGGAACGGCAUCUGAUACUGUUGAGCUAGAGUAGGUGAGAGGAAGGUAGAAUUCCAGAUGUAGCGGUGAAAUGCGUAGAGAUCUGGAGGAAUACCGAUGGCGAAGGCAGCCUUCUGGCAUCAUACUGACACUGAGGCUCGAAAGCGUGGGUAGCAAACAGGAUUAGAUACCCUGGUAGUCCACGCCGUAAACGAUGUC